UGCUGACAGUGUUUCUCAGUCAGAGAGAAACACAAAGGAAAUUAUCUUGUAUUAUGUCCUCCCUGCUGCGGUUGGGGGAAUUUGUGUCAUUGUGGGGAUCUGCUGUGCGCUCCACUUACUUCGGAAACGAAAAAGGCAAAAUUACGAAGACGACGGCGAUGUCAGUGGUGAACAGGCUGAAGUUGUACGAAGAGUCCGGAGAAACGAGAGCAGGCAGUAUUUGGAGAAAACGAACUCGGUCUACGGACGUUAACAUGAUGAGGACGUAGAGCGAAAAGGGUCACUUUUGCUUUCAACUUCCAUUAAUUGCUGGAGUAUAAAAGAAAGCUUUCUCCUUAAACGAGAGCUUUCUGUCUGCAAUACUCGAAGAUCCUUGAAUCCAGGCUUCCUGUAACGAUGAAGUUAUUUUCCACGACGCGUCUCUGAUCCUCAGUCCAGCGAACUGCCGACCGACGC
Long non-coding RNA from Scleropages formosus (Asian bonytongue), 456 nucleotides. RefSeq lists it as uncharacterized. The record is from RefSeq and is a predicted model, not a curated record. NCBI's taxonomy places the organism in Eukaryota, Metazoa, Chordata, Actinopteri, Osteoglossiformes, Osteoglossidae. The transcript is spliced from 3 exons.